Molecule: ribosomal RNA, 253 nt
Filed under: uncultured bacterium
Lineage: Bacteria
Description: partial 16S ribosomal RNA
Rfam family: Bacterial small subunit ribosomal RNA
Source: RNAcentral
UACGUAGGGGGCUAGCGUUGUCCGGAAUCAUUGGGCGUAAAGAGCGUGUAGGCGGCCCGGUAAGUCCGCUGUAAAAGUCAAAGGCUCAACCUUUGAAUGUCAGUGGAUACUGCCGGGCUAGAGUCCGGAAGAGGCGAGUGGAACUCCUGGUGUAGCGGUGGAAUGCGCAGAUAUCAGGAAGAACACCAACGGCGAAGGCAGCUCGCUAGGACGGUACUGGCGCUGAGACGCGAAAGCGUGGGGAGCAAACAGG